RNAcentral lists this ribosomal RNA (275 nucleotides) under uncultured bacterium. RNAcentral describes it as "partial 16S ribosomal RNA". It matches the Rfam family "Bacterial small subunit ribosomal RNA", at positions 77 to 353 of the family's 1533-position model. The record is from RNAcentral.
CAAACUGGAGAUGGCGACCGGCGCACGGGUGAGUAACACGUAUCCAACCUGCCGAUAACUCGGGGAUAGCCUUUCGAAAGAAAGAUUAAUACCCGAUGGCAUAGUUCUUCCGCAUGGUAGAACUAUUAAAGAAUUUCGGUCAUCGAUGGGGAUGCGUUCCAUUAGGUUGUUGGCGGGGUAACGGCCCACCAAGCCUUCGAUGGAUAGGGGUUCUGAGAGGAAGGUCCCCCACAUUGGAACUGAGACACGGUCCAAACUCCUACGGGAGCAGCAUG